Molecule: long non-coding RNA, 433 nt
Organism: Eucalyptus grandis
Lineage: Eukaryota; Viridiplantae; Streptophyta; Magnoliopsida; Myrtales; Myrtaceae
Exons: 3
Source: RefSeq, a predicted model, not a curated record
AAAAGAUUCUCCAAAGGAGUGGGAUUCCCUACUUGAAGAGGAGAAGAUGACGUAUCAAAAGAAAGCCAUGGAGAGAGUUGCAUCCAUUAUGAAAGGUCUGGAGAUAUAUAACAAGCUGGGGGUUGAAGCUGCGGACUUAGAAGCAGCUAAAUGAUCCAGCAAGAAUUUUUGGUACAUUUUUAGAAAUUUAUCUGCUGUUAAGGUGGCCCGAGAAAUUAUGUGGACCCUGUCCUUUUACGAAGAUCCAGAGGUUGACCUCUCCAGUUGUUUCGGCCAACCAACUCUUUCCAUGUCUUUCGUCUUGAAAUUUGGUUUUAUUAACUCCUUCCAUGUCUUUCGUCUUGAAAUUUGGUUUUAUUAUGUGUUUUUGACUUAGUCUUGCCCUCUUCUGGCCAAGGCUUAUCUGAUUUUCUACGUUGGAGAUGUCUAGUAA